Molecule: long non-coding RNA, 4138 nt
Organism: Syngnathoides biaculeatus (alligator pipefish)
Lineage: Eukaryota; Metazoa; Chordata; Actinopteri; Syngnathiformes; Syngnathidae
Exons: 3
Source: RefSeq, a predicted model, not a curated record
GAACAUGCAAAAUCCACACAGGGGGGGCCUUGAUUUAAACCUCGGUCCUCAGAACUGUGAGACUAAUGCUCUAACCUGUCGCCCACGAUGCGAUUGUGCGAUUGUGUUAUUCUAAAGUAAAAAAUAUUCUUGAGUAAAUUUUUGUCUACUCUACCCACCUGUGCUGAUAAAAGGGGAUUCAGCAUCAAUGAUUGAAAUUACAGCAUUAAAGUAUAAAUAAACAUUGCUGUUACUUUUUUCAGUAAGGCAUAAUCCAAUUAAUUUUUCAAUCAUGAAAACAGUGUUACCAUUACAGCUACGAAAUCUGUUGCUUUGGUCUGAGUAUUACAAAUUGUUUUCAUUGGACUGGCAAGGCAGUUAUUUUUUACUUCUUUUUUAAAAUCUAAUGGGACGGGCACAUUUUAAUUUAUUAGACUUACAGUACAAAGAGUUGAAAGUACAUGAAGAGAAUGUAGAAUAUGUAAUUAUUUUCCUCGGACAUUCAUUACUUUAACAAAAGAGUAAAUAAAUACUUUUGGGGGAAAGUAUUUGGUAACAUAUCAUGCCAGGUUGGCACCUAGUCUAUACUGUAGUUAGUUGUAAUACCACCCCAUUCUGCUUUUGUCCAUAAAGAGGAGACUUGAGCAUUUUCUUGUUUUUACAUCCUAAUAUUAUUGGUGGCUUACAUAUUUUAUACUUGACAAUUACGAAUGUUAAAAUUCUGUGUAAAGCUUUAAAAACAAUCAAGGUUUUAUGGUUGCCACUGUUGAGAGUCACUGUUUGACCUUGAAUCAUCCAUCCAUCCAGCGUUUGUUCAUUCAUUCAUUCAUUCAAUCAUCCAUCCAUCCACCCAUCCACCCCAGCAUUAACUACUCUACAGUAGAAGCUGGCAUGCUUGAGGAGCUUAUGAUUUGGUGUGUGCUGUACGGUGGUCCAGGUGCUGUAUUGGAUUCUGCGCAAGAUUAACAUUCAGUUCUGAGGAUAAAGCUUCAAUCCUCCUAGAUCUGCUGCUGGAACUGGUCGGGCUUGCACAACAGCCACAGCACACACACACACAAGUGAGGGGAGUGCACACACCAACCGACAAUUUGUUUACAGUAUCUUUGUGUUCAGUCAACUUUACAAAACACAUAACACAGUUACAUAACGAUGUCGCUCCGUUUGAUCACUCUUCGCUCUUGGGCAUUUUUCCAAAUGUACCAAAUCCCUACUCUGAAUGCCACCUCCUCAGAAAAGCACAUUUCAUAACAGUGUGGGUUGCAAAAUCCUCAAGACAUUUGAGUUCUGUAAUUGCCACAAUGUGCUGCCUAAUCCUUAUUUCCCGGGAGUUCGUGAUAUAGUCAAUAUACGCAGUACUGCAGAAACGCCAACACGUGUGUUGCCUCCAGGUGACGUCGGUAACAUCAUUCCUUUGCCGUUUACAUUUAUAGGUACUUCCUCCAGCUAUAGACAUGAGAAGACAAUCGUCUUAAAAGCUUUUAAUAAUGUUCAGUUGAUUGACAUUGUCAGAGGAAUAUUUGUUCCAUAAUGUUUGGUAUUAUGGUUUGUAGUUGUAUAGAAAACCAUGGGGCUACCUGUAGAUUGGCAGACUGAGAUGGUGGUCCCACAUUUCAAGAAGGUGGGCCAAAAUUAAUGUUACAACCCUGGGGAGAUUGUAGUCCUGGGUGGGUUCUAAUAUAAAAUAUUAACCCCCCUUGGUUUCAAUGAAGGUUGGACUGGAUCAAUGAAUAGGCUAUCUACUGUAUUUUACAAUGUCAAUCAUAGUUGAUUGAGUGUUGAAUAUAAGCAUUGAACGUUUUUUUCUCCUCCCCUUUAUAGGUCGACUCGGGGGAAAAAAAGGCCACAAGCGAGAGAGAUGGAAGAUUGAGACUGCACCCUAAUAAAUUCCCCCAUCUUUAUUCUUUGAUGUCUCCAUAAUCCCUCACAUGCAUUUUCUAUAUUUGGCAUUGAAGCCGCUAAAGCUAAUCUCUCAGACUUUCCACCGGAACAAAACUGCCUGAAUUGGUGCUCAUCUGACUCAAAUAAGUGGCCAAGUGAGCGCCUCGGCUGAUGAAUCGAGAGCAGUUGUUUCACUUUCCUCUGAUUCCCUCGGGGGCAAACGUGGCCGGGUUUAAUGAGAGUGUGUGUGCAAGUUUGAUGGUGUGUAACAGAGGAGCCGCUUAUGUGUUUUAGAUUUAUGCACGAGUGUCUCAGCUGGCAGAAAGAACGGCAGGUCCUCAUCGGCCACAUCUUGGCAGAGUCAGAGCUUUGUGCAAUCCCUGCAUGCAAAUGAUAUACCAUCACUCCCAAAUUUCACAGAACACCUCAUGAGGUGCAAAUGCACAGGCCAAUUAGGUCCAACACAAAAAUAGUAUCAUAUCCAUCCAACCAUUUUCUUUGCCACUUUGCCUCAUUUGGGUCACAGGUGUGGUGGAGCCUUUGGGCAAAAGGUAGCAUAUGCCUAGGAUUGAUAGACAAAUCAAAUCGUUCAUUUACAUUCACAACUAUGGACAAAUUCGAGUCCUCAAUGUAUCUAAUACAGAAACGUGGGAGGAAGUCGGAAUACACAGAAACCUUUUUCAACCCCAAAAAGCAGCUGCAAAUGGAAAAGAUUAGUUUUCAUCGUUCAUUGAUGACCGCCAUAAGCCGCUUGGAUGCUUCCCACAAUGUUGGAUGCCCACGACCACCCCCUGUCCGGCUUUACUGCUACAUCAUGCCACUUCAGCAUAACCAAACCAAAAAUCUGUUUGCUCACCCACCCUCGGAUGUACUCUGAGUUAUCUGCACUGAACGGACACGAUCCAACUCCCCGUAGGGCAUGAGCCGACCCACACUUUGCUCCAUUUCUGCCCGGGCUCGAAUGCUUCCUGCUGGGUCACAAAUGGGUGGCGGCUGCUUCAAAGGCUGGAGGGCAGAUAGAAAUGGCUGCAGUGGCCUCGGGAUUAUCACUCAUUGUCUGAUUUACUCCCCCAUUACAAGAAUUGCGUGCAUAUAUGCGGGUGUUCAGAGUACAGUAUAAAGUCAACAAAGACUAGUUGUUCCCUGAUGAUUUGCUACAAACUCUUGGCAAGUCCCUGUCACUCUUCUUCACAAAAGACUAAUGGAAUCCAUUGUCACGACACAGACGAGGAGGCCGAAAGCCCCUCCAGCUUGUACGACAAGCUUGUACUGCAUUGAUCUUCCAUUUUCUGUACCUUUAAUCCUCACUAGGGUCCCAUUUUACUUUGAGCAAGAAGCCGAGUACACCCUGGAUUGGUCGCCAGUCAAUCACAGGGGAAUUCUGUGCCUCAUUUCUAUGGAAACGGUCUCUAAAGCAGCCAUGCAAGAGGAGACGCUGAGCUGGUGGAAAAGCCUUUUUUGUGUUGACACACCAGAUUGGUCUCAAGGGGAUAGAAAGAGCUGGGAGGCUCGAAAAGUCCUUUCAUUCUCGGGCCACUGUAUAGAUCGCAAAUGGAUGGUUCUGGUUGUGUUAGAAGAGCUUUCACCUCUCAAGAGCUAGAUCACAAGAACUUGGAUUAAAGUGUUUAAACUAUUAAGGAAGUCUAUAGUUCAUACACACUGGUCCAAUAAAAUUAAACAGGUCAAUAGGUUUUAUAAUUGAUAUUUUGUUUAUCUGCAAAACAUUUGUCUUAACUUGCUAUAACUGUUUUGUCACAAUACAAACAAGUGAUUAAUUACUCUUUUCCCCUGUGGAUUGCGUUAAAAAUAAAGAUACCUAAACCUUCAAAACAAGACAUUGCUGGAUGCUGGUGACAUGACAAAAUUAUUCACCCUUUGGUGAGGCCUGAAAAGUGUAGUGGGAGGCUAUCUGAAGGCAAGUUGACUAUGCAGUUCCACCCCCCCCCCACAUUCUUCAAAUGUAAAAUUAAAUGAACCGUGGGCUAUCCAAACUUCAAAACAACUAGUUGCUUGCUCACUAUUAACUCUGACAUGUAAUGGAAACAGAUUAAUGAUUAAAAACAUGGGGAGGUGGACGAGGAUGUGUGCCUGGGAAGUGAGUUUCUUCACAUUAAGAUUUAACACAGUUGACUUUGCGUAUAUCCAUCAUCCAUCCAUUUUCCAAUCUGUUUAUCCUCAUGAGGGUCGCGGGAGAGCUGGAGCCUAUCCCAACUGUCAACACGCAGGAGGCAGGGUUCACCCGAAACUGGUUGCCCGCCAAUCGCAGGGCACAUGGAGACAA